RNAcentral lists this transfer RNA (82 nucleotides) under Felis catus (domestic cat). It matches the Rfam family "tRNA". Rfam says of the family: Transfer RNA (tRNA) molecules are approximately 80 nucleotides in length. Their secondary structure includes four short double-helical elements and three loops (D, anti-codon, and T loops). Lineage: Eukaryota; Metazoa; Chordata; Mammalia; Carnivora; Felidae. The record is from Rfam by way of RNAcentral.
GCCUGGGUGGCUCAGUCAGUUGAGCGUCUGACUUCAGCUCAGGUCAUAUCACAGCUUAUGGGUUCAAGCCCCGCAUCGGGCU